AUUGAACGCUGGCGGCAUGCUUUACACAUGCAAGUCGAACGGUAACAGGUUAAGCUGACGAGUGGCGAACGGGUGAGUAAUGCAUCGGAACGUGCCCGAUCGUGGGGGAUAACGCAGCGAAAGCUGCGCUAAUACCGCAUACGAUCUGAGGAUGAAAGCGGGGGACCGUAAGGCCUCGCGCGAUCGGAGCGGCCGAUGUCAGAUUAGGUAGUUGGUGGGGUAAAGGCCCACCAAGCCGACGAUCUGUAGCUGGUCUGAGAGGACGACCAGCCACACUGGGACUGAGACACGGCCCAGACUCCUACGGGAGGCAGCAGUGGGGAAUUUUGGACAAUGGGCGAAAGCCUGAUCCAGCAAUGCCGCGCAGGAAGAAGGCCUUCGGGUUGUAAACUGCUUUUGUACGGAGCGAAAAGGUCCUUUCUAAUACAAGGGGCUCAUGACGGUACCGUAAGAAUAAGCACCGGCUAACUACGUGCCAGCCGCCGCGGUAA
RNAcentral lists this ribosomal RNA (491 nucleotides) under uncultured bacterium. RNAcentral's name for it is "partial 16S ribosomal RNA". It matches the Rfam family "Bacterial small subunit ribosomal RNA", at positions 29 to 523 of the family's 1533-position model. The record is from RNAcentral.